This 253-nucleotide ribosomal RNA is filed under the name uncultured bacterium. RNAcentral describes it as "partial 16S ribosomal RNA". It matches the Rfam family "Bacterial small subunit ribosomal RNA", at positions 524 to 776 of the family's 1533-position model. The record is from RNAcentral.
UACGUAGGGUGCGAGCGUUGUCCGGAAUUAUUGGGCGUAAAGAGCUCGUAGGCGGUUUGUUGCGUCGGCCGUGAAAACCUGCAGCUUAACUGUGGGCCUGCGGCCGAUACGGGCAGACUUGAGUUCGGUAGGGGAGACUGGAAUUCCUGGUGUAGCGGUGAAAUACGCAGAUAUCAGGAGGAACACCGGUGGCGAAGGCGGGUCUCUGGGCCGAUACUGACGCUGAGGAGCGAAAGCGUGGGGAGCGAACAGG